ACUUAAUUCUCCAGAACUCUUCAUUCAGCCGAUACUCAACACCGUUAUUUUGUUUUACACACUAAAUCUCAUACCUUAGCAAGUACUUGGCAACCAAAGCAACGUUGGACUGCAAAUUUAUGUGUAGAUUCGUGAGAAUGGGGAUUGGGAUGACGACACUAUUGAUGAAUUUUUCCAAAAAAUGCAUAGGCGAUGCAGUGGCGCAGUAGGUAGGGCUGUCGCCUCACAGCAAGAAGGUCGCUGGUUCAGUUGGCGUUUCUGUGCGGAGUUUGCAUGUUCUCCCUGCGUUCGUGUGGGUUUAAAGACAUGUGGUACAGGUGAAUUGGGUUGGCUAAAUUGUCCAUAGUGUAUGAGUGUGAAUGAGUCUGUGUGAUUGUUUCCUAGAGAUGGGUUGCGGCUGGAAGGGCAUCCGCUGCGUAAAAACGUGCUGGAUAAGUUUGAUUGA
Molecule: long non-coding RNA, 445 nt
Organism: Danio aesculapii
Lineage: Eukaryota; Metazoa; Chordata; Actinopteri; Cypriniformes; Danionidae
Exons: 4
Source: RefSeq, a predicted model, not a curated record